AACGAACGCUGGCGGCAGGCCUAACACAUGCAAGUCGAACGCCCUAGCAAUAGGGAGUGGCAGACGGGUGAGUAACGCGUGGGAACCUUCCCUGUGGUGCGGAAUAACUCGCCGAAAGGCGUGCUAAUACCGCAUAAGCCCGCAAGGGGAAGAUUUAUCGCCAUAGGAUGGGCCCGCGUAGGAUUAGCUAGUUGGUGAGGUAAUGGCUCACCAAGGCGACGAUCCUUAGCUGGUGAGAGAAUGACCAGCCACACUGGGACUGAGACACGGCCCAGACUCCUACGGGAGGUAGCAGUGGGGAAUCUUGGACAAUGGGCGCAAGCCUGAUCCAGCCAUGCCGCGUGAGUGACGAAGGCCUUCGGUUGUAAAG
RNAcentral lists this ribosomal RNA (370 nucleotides) under uncultured bacterium. Its description in RNAcentral is "bacterial SSU rRNA". It matches the Rfam family "Bacterial small subunit ribosomal RNA", at positions 29 to 430 of the family's 1533-position model. The record is from RNAcentral.